GACGAACGCUGGCGGCGUGCUUAACACAUGCAAGUCGAACGGAAAGGCCCUGCUUUUGUGGGGUGCUCGAGUGGCGAACGGGUGAGUAACACGUGAGUAACCUGCCCUUGACUUUGGGAUAACUUCAGGAAACUGGGGCUAAUACCGGAUAGGAGCUCCUGCUGCAUGGUGGGGGUUGGAAAGUUUCGGCGGUUGGGGAUGGACUCGCGGCUUAUCAGCUGGUUGGUGGGGUAGUGGCUUACCAAGGCUUUGACGGGCAGCCGGCCUGAGAGGGUGACCGGCCACAUUGGGACUGAGAUACGGCCCAGACUCCUACGGGAGGCAGCAGUGGGGAAUAUUGCACAAUGGGCGGAAGCCUGAUGCAGCAACGCCGCGUGCGGGAUGACGGCCUUCGGGUUGUAAACCGCUUUCGCCUGUGACGAAGCGUGAGUGACGGUAAUGGGUAAAGAAGCACCGGCUAACUACGUG
Molecule: ribosomal RNA, 468 nt
Filed under: uncultured bacterium
Lineage: Bacteria
Description: partial 16S ribosomal RNA
Rfam family: Bacterial small subunit ribosomal RNA
Source: RNAcentral